Molecule: ribosomal RNA, 282 nt
Filed under: uncultured bacterium
Lineage: Bacteria
Description: partial 16S rRNA
Rfam family: Bacterial small subunit ribosomal RNA
Source: RNAcentral
UUAGUUGCUACGCAAGAGCACUCUAAUGAGACUGCCGUUGAUAAAACGGAGGAAGGUGGGGAUGACGUCAAAUCAUCAUGCCCCUUAUGACCUGGGCUACACACGUACUACAAUGGUGAUCAAACAGAGGGAAGCAACACAGCGAUGUGAAGCAGAACCCGAAAAAUCAUCUCAGUUCAGAUUGCAGGCUGCAACUCGCCUGCAUGAAGUCGGAAUUGCUAGUAAUCGCGGAUCAGCAUGCCGCGGUGAAUACGUUCCCGGGCCUUGUACACACCGCCCGUC